Molecule: ribosomal RNA, 267 nt
Filed under: uncultured bacterium
Lineage: Bacteria
Description: partial 16S ribosomal RNA
Rfam family: Bacterial small subunit ribosomal RNA
Source: RNAcentral
GUCCCGGCCCUAAACGGUGCGCGUUUGCUGUAGGAGGAAUCGACCCCUUCUGUGGCGAAGCUAACGCGAUAAACGCGCCGCCUGGGGAGUACGGUAGCAAGAUUAAAACUCAAAGAAAUUGACGGGGGCCUGCACAAGCGGUGGAGUAUGUGGCUUAAUUCGAUGCAACGCGAAGAACCUUACCUGGCCUUGACAUGCAUUUGGUAGAACCAUGAAAGUGGGACGACCCCGCAAGGGGAGGAUGCACAGGUGCUGCAUGGCUGUCGU